UUUGUCUUGCAGCGCAAAAUAGUGCUGCUAUUAAGGCAUCCAUGGUCACUAGUCCAGGACUCAAGAAAGAAAGCAACACACUCUCAGCAGUGCAAACUGAGCCAGCCUGUGAUUUGCAGCCAGUGGAAAUGAGGUGAUUUUCAGGGAGAAGCUGUGAAGAAUCUCCGCUUGCCCUCUUCAGACGUAGGAGACGACCUGCAGACUCUUGGUCACCCCUGUGUACUCCAAGCUGCAGCAGUGACCGUGGUUUGCCCAGGGCCACAUCCUUGACAUGUGCAGGUGCAGUCUCUGCAGGAGGCCACAGCUUUGUGCCAAAAGCCCACAGAGUGUGGAGGCUAGGCUGGUGGCAUCACUCCUACCCCUUGUCACACUGCGGCUAGCUUGGGGCAGAGUCGAUAUGUGAAACCAGGCUUCCUCUGGGUUCUGAACAAUUUGUAAAAUAAGAGGAGGGAAAAGGUACAGACCAAGAUGUCCCCUUCCCUGUCGAUACAGGCCAGGGUGGCAGCAGCUUGCUGUGAGAGCCUCAGGACUUAGCUGAGCUGCAGCUUCAGACUUUGGCUGACCUAUUCACCCAUCACAGAGAUGGCCACCAAGGCAGGCACAUGUGGACACUACCAAUGCAGCUGGCAGCAUAGAGCCGCUAGGGAAAUCCUUCGUCCUUUGAAGGCACUCCCAAGAGGAUCCACAGCAGAGCUGAGAUGAACAGCCCUAGGCUUUCUUCUGCAUCUUCUACUAGAGACAUCUCAACCCCUUCUCAAUGCUAAACGUAAGCCAAGGCAAGGAGGAAGGCUUGCAUGCUAAGGGUGAGCUUGUCACCUGAAGUAGCCCAGAGUGGGGAGGAGGUGUCCCAUCUACCCACUCCUGUGUAAAGUAGCCAUAUGAAAACUGGCCCAGGACAACAGGUGAUUUAAUUGUUCACAAUUUAGUAGCUCAGAAAUUGAGGUUGGGUCAGCUGGGUGGUUCUUCUGCUCAACUUGCCUGGAGUAACUCAUGCCAAUGGUUGUCCAGUGGUUCGCCACAGCUGGGUGGACACAUAGAGCCUCACUGUGGUGUCUGAUGGGGAUGCUGGCUGUCAGCUGGGUCACGUGGGUCCUGCUCGAUCAGGCAUCUGCCGAAAGCCAGCUCAGACAUGUUCACUCGGCUAUUUCAUGGCAGCAAGAGAGGAAGCCUAGAAGUUCAGAGCCUCCUAAAGCUUACAGUCCAAAGUCUCAAACCAUCAAAGCAAGUCCUAAGGCCAGCCCAGACCUGUGAAGGUGAAGAGACAGACUCUGCCUGUUGACGGGAGGAGCAGCAACAUCACAUGUGGUCAGGCACACACACGGGACGGGAGGGCUGUGGCCCCAUCCUGUGCCUGGACCACAGAGCACUUGUGGCCAGCUCAAGGCAAAUGUAAGUGUGUUUGUUCCAUGGCACAGGAAAGACAGGAGAAGGAAACUGGAGACAAAGAAACACCCUGGAAGUACUCCUAGAUGGCCAUGUCCAGUGUGUGGACAGUUAACAGACCCCACAAGGGCUUUGUACAAGGAGCAACACCCAACUCUCAGAGCCCCUGGAAAUAUAAAUUUGUGUCACCUCGAUGGAUCAAGAAACCUGACAAUCUAAAUAGCUACUUGAGAACAAAGAGAACACUGACUCUUACUGGGAAAGAAAUAUUAUAAAGACUCUCAUGAUCUGAGGAUGAGUCAUAAAAAUUGAGAUUUCAAUUCAUUUACUUUCAUGCAUCAUUGUGUGUGUGUGCAUGUGUGUGCACGUGUGCUUAAACUAGUUUGCCAUACUUAUUUCUGCGUCUUUCCUGCCAUUUUAUAUAGCAUAUGUGGGAGAUAAUUACAUUUAUAAUCUAGUCUGUGAGUUUCAUAAUAUUAAAAAAAAGAUUCUGACAGUACUCAAGGAUAGAUAGCUAGUCCCUAGAGACCUGAUACUGUGCACAUCAACUUACAACACAUUGAGUUGUCUCUCCUUGUAGACAGGAAAAAGGAGUGUUCAGUGGAUAAGAGAGGACAGUAUUAGUUCUGGUGUAAGCAGCUGUUUUGAACUUUAACUUUGGAAAAAAGAAUGGCUGAAUGUUAAGCAGAAGUGGAAUCUGUGUAGCACUGACCAUCAAGCACACGAGUGUGCACAUUCCUUCCUGUCGAGGAGACCUCUUAAGGUAGAUGAGGAGUAUGGUCCACCUACUAGGGCGCCAUAGCGAGGGCCUUUCUUCUCCCUAUACCUUGGCGUAACAACAUGGGCUCAUAGCCUGAAUAAGCUGCUAAGACGUGUGUUCUGUUACCUCGAGUGUGAGGGGUUAUAAAGGCAUAGGGCUGACUUGCUAUGCCUUCUGAGGAGUUGAAAUCCAUGGUGAUGAGCGCCCAGAAGAGCAUGAAAACAGCUCAGCCAUGAGCGGUAGCAAGACCCCAGCUGGCCUUGACAAUACUUUCGUUUUAUGCCUAAAGUAUUUAGAGUUGGUUUUGGUUAUUUACAACAAAACAUAGGGCACAAAGACAAAGACACAGCAAUCAAUUCUGAGCUUCACACGUGAGAUAGGGAUCAAGGAAGCGUAAAAACAAAGAACAUGGCAAAUGCGUGCAACCGGUGGAAAUUACUUGUUUUGUUGCUCUUACUCAGUUCUGAAAUCAGCAGUAGGAUCCAAAACUUUUUGUAUUAAGUAUUCACAUCCUGAUAGCCACUUGUGCUUUAUUUGCCUUUAUUGCUCCAGAGACAUACAAGGGUAAAACAACAGAAGAAGAUAUGUAAAUUAACCUUUGGUUAAAAAUUUAUCAUUAAGAAGAGAAAAAUUACAUUUUCUAUGAAGAUAUAUAUUGUCAAC
RNAcentral lists this long non-coding RNA (2806 nucleotides) under Homo sapiens (human). RNAcentral describes it as "HSALNT0157524". The record is from RNAcentral. Lineage: Eukaryota; Metazoa; Chordata; Mammalia; Primates; Hominidae.